Molecule: ribosomal RNA, 489 nt
Filed under: uncultured bacterium
Lineage: Bacteria
Description: partial 16S ribosomal RNA
Rfam family: Bacterial small subunit ribosomal RNA
Source: RNAcentral
GACGAACGCUGGCGGCGUGCUUAACACAUGCAAGUCGAACGGAAAGGCCCCCAUCUUGGUGGGGGUGCUCGAGUGGCGAACGGGUGAGUAACACGUGGGUGAUCUGCCCUGUACUUCGGGAUAAGCUUGGGAAACUGGGUCUAAUACCGGAUAGGACCAUGGUUUAGUGUCUCAUGGUGGAAAGAUUAUUGUUUUGGUGCAGGAUGAGCUCGCGGCCUAUCAGCUUGUUGGUGGGGUAAUGGCCUACCAAGGCGUCGACGGGUAGCCGGCCUGAGAGGGUGGACGGCCACAUUGGGACUGAGAUACGGACCAGACUCCUACGGGAGGCAGCAGUGGGGAAUAUUGCACAAUGGGCGCAAGCCUGAUGCAGCGACGCCGCGUGGGGGAUGACGGCCUUCGGGUUGUAAACUCCUUUCGUUAGGGACGAAGCCGCACUUUUUUUGGGUGUGGUGACGGUACCUUUGUUAAGAAGCACCGGCUAACUACGUG